UCUUACCGAUUGAGCGUGCUGGUGAAAGUGUUGGGAUCGGCCUCAGCUGGUGGCAACACCGGUUGUGGCUGAGAACAUCAUUGAACCCUCCCGCUUAGAGGAAGGAGAAGUCGUAACAAGGUUUCCGUAGGUGAACCUGCGGAAGGAUCAUUG
Molecule: ribosomal RNA, 153 nt
Filed under: Chloromonas granulata
Lineage: Eukaryota; Viridiplantae; Chlorophyta; Chlorophyceae; Chlamydomonadales; Chlamydomonadaceae
Description: partial 18S ribosomal RNA
Rfam family: Eukaryotic small subunit ribosomal RNA
Source: RNAcentral